Molecule: long non-coding RNA, 12304 nt
Filed under: Malus domestica (apple)
Lineage: Eukaryota; Viridiplantae; Streptophyta; Magnoliopsida; Rosales; Rosaceae
Description: long non-coding RNA (MDOM_LNC010009)
Source: RNAcentral
AGUGGAACUAGUGUUCAUCCCAGCACCAGGAGCAGGCCACCUUGUACCAACGCUGCAAUUCGCAAAGCGUUUGAUCGAUCGCAACGACAGAAUUUCGAUCACCAUUCUUGCCAUCCAGUCAUUCUACCCAACCACUCUAAGUUCAUACACAAAAUCGAUUGCAGCCUCAGAACCCCGAAUCCGAUUCAUUGAUGUCCCACAACCUCAAUAUCGACCUCCGCAAGAGAUGUACAAGUCACGAGCAAAGAUCUUCUCUCUUUACAUUGAGAGUCACGUCCCCAGUGUCAAGAAAAUCAUCACCAACCUCGUCUCCUCUAGUGCUAAUAGUUCAGAUUCGAUUCGUGUUGCUGCUUUGGUAGUUGAUUUAUUCUGUGUGUCCAUGAUUGAUGUGGCCAAAGAACUCAAUAUUCCUUCUUAUCUUUUCCUGACAAGCAAUACAGGAUAUCUAGCUUUCAUGCUCAACCUUCCAAUUCUUCAUGAAAAAAACCAGAUUGCUGAAGAAUCCGAUCCCGAUUGGUCAAUCCCAGGUAUGUUUCUGACAAUCACAAGUGUUUUUUAAUGCGUUUAACAUGAAAAGUUACAAGUGUUUCUAAGUCAUAAAGACUCUUUCUGGAGAAGCACAUGCAAGUGGUUUCUUCACGAAGCAUUUCAAGUCAUUUUUCAGGAAGCAAUUGACUUUUUAAUAAACAAAAAUCAGCAUGUCAUAUGAAAUCAUUUCUAGCAUAGAUGUUUAGAGUAAAAGUGCUUUCUGCAAAAUGAAAUUUCACUGUAUCAAACGAGUACAAUGCUAUCUCCACCGAAAAAGACCAACAUGUCCAAUGUUUAAAGAUGCGCCCCCUUAGACUUCAUUGCAGUUGAAAAGUUGUGAUUUCUUGGAGUUUGAUUCUUACACUGAAAAUUUUCGACACUUAGGUAUUGUCCACCCGGUUCCUCCUAGAGUUUUGCCUGUGGCCUUGACAGACGGUAGCUGCUCCGCUUACAUCAAGUUGGCUUCAAGAUUUAGAGAGACUAGAGGCAUUAUAGUAAACACAUUUGUAGAGUUAGAGACACACGCUAUCACAUUGUUUUCCAAUGACGACCGAGUCCCUUCACUGUACCCAGUCGGGCCAGUGAUCGACCUGGAUGACGGUCAGGCACAUUCCAACCUAGACCAGGCACAGCGCGACAAGAUCAUCAAAUGGCUUGAUGACCAGCCUCAGAAAUCUGUUGUGUUUUUGUGUUUUGGUAGCAUGGGAAGCUUUGGGGCAGAGCAAGUGAAGGAAAUAGCUUUAGGGCUUGAACAAAGUGGGCAGAGGUUUUUAUGGUCCCUGCGCAUGCCGUCCCCCAAAGGCACCGUCCCAAGUGAUUGCUCAAAUCUUGAAGAAGUUUUGCCAGAUGGGUUCUUGGAGAGGACCAAUGGGAAGAAAGGGUUGAUAUGUGGGUGGGCCCCACAGGUGGAGGUCCUGACCCACAGUGCAACCGGAGGGUUCUUGUCGCACUGCGGGUGGAACUCGAUCUUGGAGAGCUUGUGGCAUGGCGUCCCUAUUGCGACGUGGCCCAUGUAUGCAGAGCAGCAGCUCAAUGCUUUCUGGAUGGUGAGGGAGUUGGGGAUGGCGUUGGAGAUGAGGCUGGAUUACAAGACAGGCAGCGCUGACGUGGUGGGGGCGGACGAGAUUGAGAGGGCUGUGGUUGGUGUGAUGGAGAAGGAUAGUGAGGUGAGGAAGAAGGUGGAAGAGAUGGGAAAGAUGGCUAGAAAAGCUGUGAAGGAUGGAGGGUCUUCAUUUGCUUCUGUUGGGAGAUUUAUUGAGGAUGUGAUUGGUGAGAAUUAGGGUUUUAAGUAGUGGUUGUUAAUUUUUUAAGUUUAAGAACUCAUGAAUGUACUAAUUUUUCCUUGUUCUUGUAUGUUGAUUGAUGCGAUGAAAGUUAAGCACGCACAUUAAACCCUAUUUUGACAAUUGUAGUAUAUGUAUAAGUACGGAUUAUUCUGGACCGGGGAUUAGGAGGGAUUGCUAAUCUAAACUAAACUGACUUACAAAAAGAAACUUAAAAACACUUAACUAGACUCUAUAGACUCAAAACACUUAAAAACACAAACUAAAACAAAUUCUAACUAAUUAGACACACUAAAGUAAAGGGGAAUUGAGUUUUGGACGAAUUUGAAAUAAACAAGCAAGUUAUAAAACUAGGCAGAUUCUAAAAUGAAUUUGAGAAAUAAAAUGAUGGAUGAAUUAGUUAGAGGUCCAUUCUUCACACAUGACACUCUUGUACAUGAAUCGAUUUCCAAUUGCUUUUUAAUAAACUAUUAUGCUGAACACCCCAGAUUAACCGUGAUGCACAAAUUAACCAUCAGAUUUUCAUUUACUCAUUGAAUUGGAUGAAUGCAUGCGACAACCUAAAUCAUUAUCUAAAAGUCCCCUAUAUGAAUGCAUAAUAGAGAUACAAUCAGAGAUCAUUACGUUCAAUGAAAAUCAUAAGUGUUGACGAGGCAAUUAUAACUAUGAAUGCAUGAUACAAUUGCCAAGAAUUCAAUUAACGUGAUUGUGAUAAACAACCUUUACUACUCAUGAAUAUAAACUUGUAACGAUUAGGUGAAACUCAUUUAUAUUCUAGCAUCUAAUUCAUGCAUGAAAAUUAAGUAUGCAUCCUUAAUAAACAUACAAGAAUCAGUUAUGAAUAAAAUAGAUAAUUGAAUUGCAAUCACAACUUAUCAAAUCACAAUUGGAAGAAAUCAAUUCAUAUCUCAAGCAUGUUCAUGGCUUCAAACUUCCCCCUAACUAAAUGGGGGUUUAGCCACUCAUAAUUGCAACAAAAUCAGAAAAUGAAUUUAACAUUGAAAACAAAAGAAAGAAAACACUUAAACGCUCAAACGAUUCAAGUUGACAGCACGCACGUCCAAGCAUUUUCUUUUCCUUCCUUUACUACGGCACAAGGUGUUGGUAAAUGUUUGAAGGUUUGUUUGUAUGGAGGAAUGGAUGUAAAUAUGAAUGGAUGUGUUUGGAUGAAGGUUGUAUUGAAAUGGGAGUGAAUGAUCUAAAAAAAUAUAUGAACUAAAUUUAUGUUACACACACACUUCCUUUUAUAGAGGAAGUGCAAGACAAUGGAGGGGGACAUAGAGUGGUGUUGAAAUGAUUCAAAGGUGAAAGUGAAGUAAUGAUGCAAAGGUGAAAGUGAAAGUGAAGUAAUGAUGCAAAACAUGGGUAAAAUGGAGUGGUGUUGAAAUGAUUCAAAGGUGAAAGUGAAAGUGAAGUGGUGUUGAAAUGAUUCAAAGGUGAAAGUGAAGUAAUGAUGCAAAGGAUGAGGGGUAAAAUGGAGUGGUGUUGAAAUGAUUCAAAGGUGAAAGUGAAGUAAUGAUGCAAAGCAUGAGGGGUAAAAUGGAGUGGUGUUGCAACAAUGAAUGCAAGUAGGGAACAUGAAUGAUUGUGCACAUGGUAGAGAAAGGAAAGAGAGGUGGAAUGGUGUAGAAAUGAGUCAAGGGUUAAGGUGGAUUGAUGAUUGAUGCAAGAAAUUUGGAAUGAUGGAGGGAACAAGGGUGGUGCUCGGCAAUGAGUGAAUGAAAUAGACAAGGAAUGUUGUUGGAACUUAGGGACAUUGAGGAUUAGGAAAGAUUAGAUCAAAAUAAGGUAAUCUUGACUCAUGUUUCUUCUUUGGUUGCUGAGCUCUUUGUCAUUAAUUAUUCUUUAUUUUUAACACAUUUCAAGCCUCUUUAUUCUUCAAUUUCGUCCAUCCACCUUGCUCCAUGCAUGUGCUAUCCAUUCCAAGCCCAAAACUGCUCCAAAAUGCAGCAAAAUUGUACCUUAUUGCUUUAUAAGGCCUAUGGACCUACAAACACACGAAAAUAACUUAAAAUACAUAAUUAACUAAGAAAUAACAACAUAAAUGAAUGAGAACAAGCUAACUCAGUUGCAUAAAUAUGCUCCUAUCAUUGAUUAUGAAUUUAUCAGCUUGUAAUUUAUAUGUUUUAGUUCUACAAUGAUAAAUCAAACAAAACGAUUUUGUAAAUUUGUUAGGAAAGAGGGUUUUGGAGUUUGUGACAUUGAGCCCCCACGUUGUCGGAUGAGAUUUAAGUUCAAAUCUCGCGGAUGAAAGUAGUUGAAUAACAUUGCUUACAGAAAACGGGAUUUUGUAAAUUCAUCUUCAUACCCUGCUUCUUUGUGUAAACAUGUAUCAAGCCACCAAGACAAUUGCUCUCAAUUGAGCACAGGCUGCCAGAGUACUAACUAGAGUGACUUCGUCAGGUUUCGGGCUCUUCCUUUUCUGCAAGUCAUGAAAAUCGCCAAAGCCUCCUUUGGCUUGUCACUUUGUUCAUAAGACGAAAUGAGGACAUUCCAUGCAGCAAUGUCUUGACCAGGCAUUGCAGCGAAAACCCACCAAGCCUCAUCAUAAUUUCCUGACUGAACAUACCCAUCAAGCAUUGUAGUCCACGAGAAAAUAUCCUUCUCCGACAUCCUAUCAAACAAUCUUUUCGCUUCCUCAAUGCUCCCACAUUUCACACACAUAUCAAGCAUAGCAUAGCAUUGUUCAAAGUCAAGUUCUCUCCAUUUUCAUUCCUUUCAAUACAAGAACAAACCCACCUCCCAAACUCCAAAUCCACCUUCUUUGCGCAAGCUGACAACACACUCACCAUCAUUCGGCUUCACAUUCUCCUCAUCCAUCUCCUUAAACAACUCCAAGGCUUCCUCUGGACAGUUCCUCUGCGCAAAAGCCGUGAUCAUAGAAUUCCAAGACACAACAUCUUUCUUAGUAGUCUUCACGAAGACCCACCAUGCGAAAUCCAAAUCCUCGCAUGACCCAUAGAAAUGAACCAGAGAAUUGAGAAUAUCAACAUCCGAACCAAGCGAGGCCUUUAUCACCAUGCCAUGAAACCCUCUUCUGAGCUUCAAAACUCGGAGCUCUGAAGCCGCCUUGAUCACAAACGGGUAAGUAAACUUAUUGGGACUUUCCACACAGCAAUAAAGCAUUUCCAGAAGUACAAGGAUGCUUUCAGUCGGGUCGGUGCUCGACGCAUAAGCGAGUAUGAGGGUAUUCCAAGAUAAGAGAUUUGGUUGAGGAAUUUGAUCGAACACUUGGCAUGCAUAGCGAGGCUGGAGCUGGAGAAGAGGGCACAGGUGGUGAUAAGCUUGCUGGUGGAGUAAGGGUCGGAGAGAAGGCCUGUACAGAGCAUUUGGACGUGGACUUGCUUCAGCUGCUUGAAGCUGGUGCAGUGGUCGAUUGAGGAAAGAGGUGGGUCGCUUGAGAAAUGAAGGUCGUUAGUGGCGGUUGGGGAUGGAAGGUUUGGUAGGUGACGUGGCAGAGAGAUAAGGUGGGUGCUUAGAGUUGCCAUCUCUUCUAUAGUCACUCAAGCUCGUGGUUUUUUAAGAGCAACUCCAGCGUGAGAGCUAUUUCCAGGCUAUUCACUAUUUAAUCCAUCUAAUCAAUAGUAAUUACCCUUAAUAAAUAGUAAUUACCUUAGCAAUUGUUUUUUGCAUCUCCACCCCUGCACUGAAUAACCUUGGCAAUUGGCAAUAAAAUAUUAAUAUAUUUUUUUUAAAUUAAUAUUAUAUUAUUAAUUUAUAUUUUCUUUUUGGUCUUCCCGAAACUUCUACCAUUUAUCUUUCGUCUUCCUUCCCACUCUCUCACUCCCCUCCCUUCUCUCCUCUACGCCCACCUAACCCUCUUCGAUCCCCUGCACAUCCAACAUUCCCCUCCUUCUUCGAUUCCACUCUUCUUUCCCCUGAUCCUUCCCUACCCUACCCACCUCUAGCUCACCACCAUACCCUAACCCCACCCAUUUGACGGCCGGUGGUCAACAAAACCCAGAUUUACGGCCAGAGAGUCGGUUUGACGGCGGUGGAGAACAAAACCCAAUGGUCGGAGAAGACGGUGGUGGGGAGCACAAACCAAGCGGCCAAAUCAAUUUUUUAAUAUUUUCAAUUUUUCUUUAAAUUUUUGCGUUGAAUAUGGCCUCUGUUAUGGAAUAUUUGGUCUGAUUUGGAUUUUUUUCUACAUUUAUUGUGGAUUCGGAUCCCAUAUGCCAUCAGUCUCGGCGACGAACUUCGGCGAGAGCUGUUAAGUUUGAAGCCAGAGUUUUACAUUUUUUUAAUUUUUUAUUAAUUUUUUUUAUAUUUUUAUUAAUUUUAUAUUAUGGAUGACGUCGUCCUGACGUCAGCCCACGUCACAUGGCCCUCAGGCUCUCGGGCUGGCAAUCCUUGCUGGGCAUGUUGCUCGGGCCUCGCCUGUCCCUUGGGCUCCCAUACGCUAGACCCUAUCCCCCCAGCAAUUUGGCCCUGUUUGCUGGCUUGUCCCUCGAGUAACCUCCCCCGUUGGAAUUGCUCUAAUUGCUCGAAGGAGGUUGUAGCUUGUGAGAACGCUCCUUAAGUUUUUUGAGGAGGAUUGACCUCAUGGAAUAAGGAUUCUCUCUGGAUCCUCAAAUCGUGUUCGUACAUCGUAUAUUAUGUGGUCAAUUUUUAUCAAGUACUAUUCAUAUUUAAUUUUAAAUAAAAGUAUUUAAAAUAAUUUAUACGAUGAAUAGACACGAUUUGAAGAUCUCUAAGAUCCUCACGAAGAAAAUCCAGAGAGAAUCCUCAUUCUUUAGACUUAACCAAUGAACCUAUUUAAAGUGACUCAUUUUGUACUAGAGAAGCAUGUGCAUGAACAAUGGAUUCAUUUUACCUUCUUAGGUGGGGAAGUUCUAGAAACAUUUCCAUACUUUGUGCUUGAAGUAUUUCACUUAAUUUUCUCUACAGUAUUGAACUUUGGCGAUAUUUAUUAUGUACUUUUAGGACCCGAGUCUCCAUUAUUUGAUUAUUCACUUAAUCUUGUUAGUUAUAGGUGCUUUUCUUCUAGUAUUCAAGACUCUAAGAACACAUCUCUUCUUGUGGAUACACAUAAUAUUUUGAGUUUAGUGAAUAUAAGAUUCGAGUGAAUGGAAAAGAAAAAACAAAAGAUCAAUUCCACUUUGAAGAAACACAAUAUAAAAAUAGACUUGUUUAUAAAAUUUAUUAUAUAGAUGAGAAUCAAGAACAAGAAAAUUCAAAGUCAAAACUAUUUAAAAAAAAGAUAUUUUUUCGUUCGAAAAACGUAUUGUGAUUAUUUUUUUUUUUACAAUAAUCGUUAAAAUCGCCCAUUACGAUAUAUAGAAAACAAUCGAUUUGAAAAGUUUGAAAAUUUUGAAAUGUCACAAAUUUUUUUUAGUAUGUCAAAGUGAUGGAAAAGAAAGAAUAUCUUUUACAUAUCCACCAAGUUUCUAUUUUUGAAAUGAUACAAAGAGAUGUCUCUGUUCACAAAAGAAGUGUUCCCCUUUUAAUGAAUUUUUAUAAGGGUAAUGCAAUGACGUGUCACCAAUAGAAAGUGACAAUAGAAAGUAAACACAUUAAUCAAUACUUAAGUAAUAAUUCAAUCAUCAACAACUACAUCAUUGUAUUUAUAAAAUUUAAUUUAAAAUUUUAAUCUCUCUAGUAUUACUCUUUUUAUAAUCACUAAAGUUGCAAUAUCCUACGUGAUAAUUUCAAAUGAUCAGUAGGCGGUAAUGCAAUAUCCUACAAAAUAAUUGUGGUUAGGUACCAUCUAGCCAGAAAACUGAACUUUUAUGUGUUUUUUGUGUGGCUAGUUUUUCUGUUCUUGUUGGUUGCUGCCAUGGUCUUUUGACUCUUUUCGCAUCUAUCACUACAAGAAAAACUGGGACGUGAACUGGUGGGCUUAUAUUCAUUGUGGUGGGUUGAGUAUAUUGGUUUUACAAGCAAUGUUAUACUUACCACAUUUAUAUUACAUUUUUCAUGGUAGUAGGACCAACUAAUACAUGUGAGCCUUAUUUUUAUUAAAAAUAAUACAAAUAUGAUAUGAUAAAAAUAACAUUUUUUUAGUUUUAUUUGAGUGUGGGGGCAUGUACCCAGUCUUGCCUUAUAGCUAGGAGAGGUAUUUUAGUGUGUCAAAAACAAACGUUGCACUAAGUGUAAUAAUAUAACUAAUCGAAUUUCUUAUUUUAAAGUUCUAACCAAUUGUAUUAUAAAAAUGAGUGUAGCCGUGUUGCUGGUAUUGAAAAAAUUCUCCCAGCGGCAAAAUAGACAGAGUACUUAAGCAAUGAUGUAGGGGAGGGCCAUAUAAUGUAUUAGUUUAAUAUAUGCAAUCAAAUCCUUUUGCCGUACACUUUUUCCGCAUUUUGCAGUUUAAUACGUAGUUCAAAUCAAGCAUUUGUAUCUAAUAGAAGAAGAACAUCACUAUAUUUAUGUGUGGUUGAUGUGCAAAGAAAGUAGUAAGUAGAAACCAGAAAGAGUGAAAGAACAACCGAGAAAGAUGAAGAAAGUGGAACUCGUGUUCAUCCCAUCACCAGGAGCAGGCCACCUUGUACCAACGUUGCAAUUCGCAAAGCGUUUGAUCGAUCGCAACGACAGAAUUUCGAUCACCAUUCUUGCCAUCCAGUCAUCCUUCCCAACCACUCUAAGUUCCUACACAAAAUCGAUUGCAACCUCAGAACCCCGAAUCCGAUUCAUUGAUGUCCCACAACCUCAAGAUCGACCUCCGCAAGAGAUGUACAAGUCACGAGCAAAGUUCUUCUCUCUUUACAUUGAGAGUCACGUCCCCAGUGUCAAGAAAAUCAUCACCAACCUCGUCUCCUCUAGUUCUAAUAGUUCAGAUUCGAUUCGUGUUUCUGCUUUGGUAGUUGAUUUCUUCUGUGUGUCCAUGAUUGAUGUGGCCAAAGAACUCAAUAUUCCUUCUUAUCUUUUCCUGACAAGCAAUGCAGGAUAUCUAGCUUUCAUGCUCCACCUUCCAAUUCUUCAUGAAAAAAACCAGAUUGCUGUUGAAGAAUCCGAUCCUGAAUGGUCAAUCCCAGGUAUGUUUGUGACAAUCACAAGUUCUUUUGGAUGCGUUUAACAUAAUUUUUUUAAGUGUUUCUGAGUCAUAAAAGCUCUUUCUAGAGAAGCACAUGCAAGUGGUUUCUUCACAAAGCAUUUCAAGUCCCUUUUGAGGAAGCAAUUGACUUUAUAAUAAACAAAAAUCAACGUGUCAUAUGAAAUCAUUUCUAGCAUAGGUGCUUACGAGUAAAAGUGCUUUGCAGAAGAAAUUUCACUGUAUCAAACGAGUACAAUGCUAUCUCCCCCCAAAAAGACAAACAUGUCCAAUGUUUAAAGACGCGUUGUAACAACAUAUUUUUAGAUUUCAUUGCAGUUGAAAAGUUUCGAUUUCUUGGAGUUGGAUUCUUACACUGAAAGUUUUCGACACUUAGGUAUUGUCCACCCGGUUCCUCCUAGAGUUUUUCCAGUGGCUUUGACAGAUGGUAGCUGCUCCGCUUACAUCAAGUUGGCUUCAAGAUUUAGAGAGACUAGAGGCAUUAUAUCAAACACAUUCGUAGAGUUAGAGACACAUGCUAUCACAUUGUUUUCCAAUGACGACCGAGUCCCUCCAGUGUACCCAGUUGGGCCAGUGAUCGACCUGGAUGAUGGUCAGGCACAUUCCAGCCUAGACCAAGCACAGCGCGACAAGAUCAUCAAAUGGCUUGAUGACCAGCCUCAGAAAUCUGUUGUGUUUUUGUGUUUUGGUAGCAUGGGAAGCUUUAGGGCAGAGCAAGUGAAGAAAAUAGCUUUAGGGCUUGAACAGAGCGGACAAAGGUUUUUAUGGUCCCUGCGCAUGCCGUCACCCAAAGGCACAGUCCCAAGUGAUUGCUCAAAUCUUGAAGAAGUUUUGCCAGAUGGAUUCUUGGAGAGGACCAAUGGGAAGAGAGGGUUGAUAUGUGGGUGGGCCCCACAGGUGGAUAUCCUGGCCCACAGUGCGACCGGAGGGUUCUUGUCACACUGCGGGUGGAACUCGAUCUUGGAGAGCUUGUGGCAUGGCGUCCCUAUUGCGACGUGGCCCAUGUGUGCAGAGCAGCAGCUCAAUGCUUUUAGGAUGUUGAGGGAGUUGGGGAUGGCGUUGGAGAUGAGGCUGGAUUACAUGACCGGCAGCGCUGACGUGGUGGGGGCGGACGAGAUUGAGAGGGCUGUGGUUGGUGUGAUGGAGAAGGAUAGUGAGGUGAGGAAGAAGGUGGAAGAGAUGGGAAAGUUGGCUAGAAAAGCUGUGAAGGAUGGAGGGUCUUCAUUUGCUUCUGCUGGGAGAUUUAUUGAGGAUGUGAUUGGUGAGAGUUGGGGUUUUAAGUAGUAUGGGUUGCUAAUUUUGUAAGUUUAAGAAAUCUUGAAUGUACUAAUAUCUCCAUGUUCUCGUAUGCCGUUUAUGAAUUUAUCAGCAAGUAAUUUAUAUGUUUUCCUUCUACAAUGAUAAAGCAAACGAAACGAGUUUGUAAAUUUGUUAGGGAAGAGGGACUUUGGAGUUUGUGACAUUUGAGUUCCGACGUUGAAUCUCGCCAAUAAAGUAGUUGAAUAAGAUCUCGGAAAAAAAAAAAUGAGAAAAAUUGGAGUUGAAUAAUACUAUGCCUAUAUUAAAAGAUUUUGGUUAUCACAUAUUAAUCAAUGAUAUAAAUGCAUAUACAAGGAUAGAUGAGAAUCAUAUGAGAAAAGAUCAAGAAGCUUCCAGAUUUUUACAAAUUGACAUCUUUUCUUGCAGACCAAGAACUUCAGUUUAUCAUUUACUCAUUUCUUGCUAUCAAAUUAACCAUAACUUCACUACCCCAAAUCAAACCUAUUAAUCUCCUCGAAGAAGAAACGAAAUGAAACCAACCAUCUCAGUAAUGUCAAUUAUUUGCUAGUAACACGGUGUCGACGCUUAAUCCUCUGCGGUUUCAACUAAAUUGAAGAAACAAUGACACAUGUUUGGGUUACAUGAUGCAAAUGAACAAAUUCGGUAUAUCCUGUAUAUCGGUUUCAUCAUGCUUUAAUAGAGAUUCAAACAGAUUCAACUCAAUAUUAACAAACUAACAAACUCUUUGCAUUUGGAUGAUUAAGUUUAAAAUGAGGAUUAAUAUCGUUUUGUUUACGAGGAUUUUUACUGAGUGAACGAAAUAACAUUUUCAUUUUGGUGACUUUGAUCCAACACAGUUGAUUUCACUAAUCCAGACCUAUCUUCCUCUAAAUUCUCUAAACCAUACAAUCCUAGUGCAACCAAACUCGAAUCUCGUCAAUGAUGAGUUAGUUACCAAUUUGUCCUCCAAGUGGGCUUAUAAGUUACAUGCAUUGUGUGGGGCUGGGACUAUAUUGAUUUUUGAUUCACGUACUAGUUUAAUACAUUAAUUACAUUAACAUUGAACAAAAGUUUAUGCAGUGUGGGGGCAUAUGCCCACUCUUGGCCUUAGGUAGGUCCGCCAGUGAGAAAAAUGAAAAUAAUAGUAGGUGAGUAAUGACGUAGGGGAGUAGAAAAUUUUCAUUGUGACGGGAAUACGGAUGGUACACCACGUGUUUUUAUGUAAGUGGUGAGAAAUUUUAUUUUUUGAGAGAUUAAUUUUUUAACACACAUAUCUCACCAUUUGUAUAGUAACACGUAAUGUACCACCUUGUGUAGUGAUUACACUGGAAAAUCUCUGGUACAGAAGGGCCAUAUAAUAUUAACACAUGCAAUCAAUCCUUGUUGUUUAUUUCUGUCCUUUAAUUAUGUAUAUUAUUGUAUUAAUGCGUAAUUCAAAUUAAGCAGUAUAAUAUAAUUUCUCCGGUGUGAGGCAGAUUGUUUGCCCCUGUAUAGAUGCCCUUCUAAUCUUCUUUUAUUUUGUGUGGUCACGGUUAAUUCACGUUCAUAUUUUAUAUUAAUUUUUUUAUAAUGAUAAUAAGACAAAAAAUAAUAAGAAUAUAAAAUAUUGACGUGAUUUAACCGUAACUGCACAAAUAAAAAAAAUAAAAAAGGUAUCUAAACAAAUAGGAGGGUAGACAAUCUUCCUUUUUUGCCCACUCUUGGCGUUAGGUAGGUCCGUCAGUGAGAAAAAUGACAAUAAUAGUACGUGAGCAAUGACGCGAGGGAGGGCCAUAUAAUAUUAAGUUUAACAAAUGCGGUCAAUCCUUUUUCUGUACUCUUUGUCUCCUUUUCACACUGUUUAUGUUAUUUGAUUAUGUAUAUUAUUGUUAUAAUGCGAAAUUAAGCACUAUGAUAUAAACCAGAAAGAGUGAAAGAACAAGUCAGAAAGAUGAAGAAAGUGGAACUAGUGUUCAUCCCAGCACCAGGAGAAGGCCACCUUGUAUCAGCACUGCAGUUCACAAGGCGUUUGAUCGAUCGCGAUGACAGAAUUUUGAUCACCAUUCUUGCCAUCCAGUCACCCUUCCGGACCACUAUAAAUUCAUACACAGAAUCGAUUGCAGCCUCAGAACCCCGAAUCCGAGUCAUUGAUGUCCAAGAACCUCAAGAUCAUCAACCUCCACAAGAGACGCACCAGUCACCAGAAAAAUUCAUCUGUCUUUACAUUGAGGGUCACGUCCCCAAUGUCAAGAAAAUCAUCACC